This 411-nucleotide unclassified non-coding RNA is filed under the name uncultured fungus. RNAcentral describes it as "partial contains small subunit ribosomal RNA, internal transcribed spacer 1, and 5.8S ribosomal RNA". The stretch from base 1 to 73 matches the Rfam family "Eukaryotic small subunit ribosomal RNA", at positions 1759 to 1831 of the family's 1831-position model. The record is from RNAcentral. Lineage: Eukaryota; Fungi.
GCAAACUUGGUCAUUUAGAGGAAGUAAAAGUCGUAACAAGGUUUCCGUAGGUGAACCUGCGGAAGGAUCAUUGUUGAAUAAUGCUUGAUAGGUUGUAGCUGACUCUUAGGAGUAUGUGCACGCCUGUCUUGGACUCUAUUCAUCCACCUGUGCACUAUUUGUAGUCUUUGGAGACUGAGAUUGGGACAGCUUUACAAGUCGGUCAAUAGGCCGGAAUAGAGGAUUGCUUGAGCAGCUGCUAAUGUACAAGCUCUCCUUAAUAGCCUGUGAACACUCACUCCAGAGUCUAUGUUUUCAUUCAUAAACCAAGUAUGUUGUCGAAUGGUAUUCAUUGGGCUUAAAAUGCCUAUAAAAUAUUAUACAACUUUCAGCAACGGAUCUCUUGGCUCUCGCAUCGAUGAAGAACGCAGC